AUGAUACAGCUCUGAGGAGUGGAGGUGAGAGACAGGACUAGCUGGAUUUCCUAGGCCAACUAAGAAUCCCUAAGCCUAGCUGGGAAGGUGACCACUUUCACCUUUAAACACGGGCUUGGAACUUAGCUCACGCUUGACCAAUCAGAUAGUAAGGAGAGCUCACUAAAAUGCUAAUUAGGCAAAAAGACCCCUUGUGAAUGGGACUAGUUCCCUUAGAAAAGAGACCCGCAAGAGCACCCUCACUGCUUUUCUCUGAGGUGAGGACACAAAGAAAAGAUUGAAGUCUAUUAACUAGAAAGUGAGUCCCACCACACACUGAAUUUGCAGUUGCCUUGAUCUUGGACGCUCUACCCACCAGAACUAUGAGAAAUAUGGCCUUAUACUCAUGGGCUCAAGCAGUACUCCUCCCUCAGCCUCCCGAGUAGCUGGGACUAUAGGUGAGUACCACUGCACCCAGCUUAAAUGCUUAUUGAAUCCACCCAGUCUAUGGAGUUUCUGUUAUAACUGCCCAAGUAUCUAUACCAACAGACUGAGACAGUUGGUAUAUUAGUACAAGGAGCAGCCUUGAAACCUGGAGUAAGCUUAGGACAAGUUAAAGAUGCACUGUUUAACUUGGUAGAGAAUUAAUUAGAGCAGAAAUUUCCCCUUGUGGUAACACUCUUAGUAGUGUUUAGCUCACUCAUUCAUUUGAUAAGUAUUUAUUGAGACUCUCUUUGUUCCGGGGACAGUUUAGAUUUGUUAUGUAUCCAUUGGUGAAGACAGGACAAAAAUCCCCGACUAGGAGAGGGACCUGAACUCUGCUAAAAUAUAGGCAUAGUUCUUAUAAUUCAUUACUGCUCAGGAGUCAGGUGGCCAGAGGUCACAAGAUUUGUGACUUCCCUAAUUGCUCCUAUAGGUAACAUCACUAUUGUAGAAUGUAAGAUUGGUCUUCUGAGAUGUUUUUCAGAUUUUUGCAUUUGGCAACUGACUGACUCUACCUGGACCUGUGACUC
RNAcentral lists this long non-coding RNA (992 nucleotides) under Homo sapiens (human). RNAcentral describes it as "non-protein coding lnc-CD34-5:2". The record is from RNAcentral. Lineage: Eukaryota; Metazoa; Chordata; Mammalia; Primates; Hominidae.